Molecule: ribosomal RNA, 497 nt
Filed under: uncultured bacterium
Lineage: Bacteria
Description: partial 16S ribosomal RNA
Rfam family: Bacterial small subunit ribosomal RNA
Source: RNAcentral
GAUGAACGCUGGCGGCGUGCCUAAUACAUGCAAGUCGAGCGAACAGGUGAGGAGCUUGCUCCUCUGACGUUAGCGGCGGACGGGUGAGUAACACGUGGAUAACCUACCUAUAAGACUGGGAUAACUUCGGGAAACCGGAGCUAAUACCGGAUAAUAUAUUGAACCGCAUGGUUCAAUAGUGAAAGACGGUUUUGCUGUCACUUAUAGAUGGAUCCGCGCCGCAUUAGCUAGUUGGUAAGGUAACGGCUUACCAAGGCAACGAUGCGUAGCCGACCUGAGAGGGUGAUCGGCCACACUGGAACUGAGACACGGUCCAGACUCCUACGGGAGGCAGCAGUAGGGAGUCUUCCGCAAUGGGCGAAAGCCUGACGGAGCAACGCCGCGUGAGUGAUGAAGGUCUUCGGAUCGUAAAACUCUGUUAUUAGGGAAGAACAAAUGUGUAAGUAACUAUGCACGUCUUGACGGUACCUAAUCAGAAAGCCACGGCUAACUACGUG